GAAAAUCUAGUUUAUUAAAAACAUUAAUUUGUCAAAUUAAAAAAAUUUAUUUUAAUGAUUUUCU
This 64-nucleotide transfer RNA is filed under the name Mileewa alara. RNAcentral describes it as "tRNA-Asp". The record is from RNAcentral. Lineage: Eukaryota; Metazoa; Arthropoda; Insecta; Hemiptera; Cicadellidae.